GCAGGGCCUCUGUGAGCAGCAAGUGAGCGUCUGUGGGUGGUCCUGGCUUCUGCUCAUGCUCAGCGCGCUCACCGCGGAGAGGGGAGGGGAAGCAGAGGGAUUUUAAAAGACUUCAAGGUACAAAUCUCUUAAUUUUCCACAGUGCUGCGGGAGAACAGAGUCACUCAGCACUCGCCAAGCGAACUGAGGCCGGGAGGCGCUGGGGAGGUUCUGGUUCGGAAGGUGGGCGCAAGUCACCCCCAGGAGCUGAUCCCAGGAGUCUGUCUGCGACCUGGCAUGAGAUAAAAAGCUUAACCCGAGAAAGUGCUUCUCACCAGGCGGGGGUGAGGCUCUGGCACCUUGUGAACGGCACGGAGGCCCACCCUGCAGCCACCGCCCUGGUCCUGCCACAGGCACACAUGGAGCCUCCCAAUGCCCAGCCCAGCUGGUCCCGUUAACGGGCUCCCCAGACUGCCCCCCAGACUCCCCCCGACAGGCCCGUGCAAGGGGAAGACUGUUUCCUCAGGGGAGUGGGCUGUGGGGGGGGGAGGGGAAGGGGGCUUCCAGAAUAACCAUGAGACCGCUCUCCUUCUGCAGCACCUAUGUUGCACGAAUCUCACCUACACGUGUAAGAAAGGGAAUUAUGGGAAACAUUGCUCUGUUUAGCCAAGUUGACAUGUUGCAAGGUUACCAUUGUUUUUGUUCCAAAUUUUUUGUUUCUUUUUAUCCGUCAAGCUCCUGAUUGGGUAUUUUUUUAGAUUUGCAUGUGAGUUUGUGUGGAUUCCCCUUGAACUAAACAUUCCUCUGCUUUUCUCAACUGAAUUCCUUUGAGGAUCCUUUAACUUCUGAUGGGAAAUGAGCACCAUGCCAGGAAUUCUGCUGGGAAGGAAUGUGUCCAGAAUUACCUCCCGUUUCCUCACGCAGACGUUCCUUUCUGCGCCUCCCUGCUCCCGGGCUGGCAUUGCAAGGGCACGUGGUGCUGCUGAGCGCCUCACCAGCUCCUCUGAAAACAGUUCUUUCCACCUUCUCUCUGCUCCUUGUCUGAUGAAUGCCAGAUUUUUCCUUGCCAUCUUUGGUGUACUGGUCUCCUUAAUGUCUACCAUCUGCUGAGUCGCAUUUGGAAACUGAGUAAGGAUGAGAAGUGCCUGAUGAACAUUUCAUCGAGUUGCGUUGUCUCCCAGAACGGGCAGUUGCCCUUCCCCCCAGUCGCUGCGGUUGGCGGUGGUGCUGUGAGCUAGAGAGCGGGAUCUGUGCACUGCAGGUCAGCCUCUCACAAAUCACCACACUUCGGCUAUUUAAUUGUCGACGUAUCGCCUGAAGAUGCAGUAUUUCCCAAAA
Manis javanica (Malayan pangolin) is the source of this 1317-nucleotide long non-coding RNA. RefSeq lists it as uncharacterized. The record is from RefSeq and is a predicted model, not a curated record. Lineage: Eukaryota; Metazoa; Chordata; Mammalia; Pholidota; Manidae.